UUACAGAGUUGAAAAACUCCCAAACCCUUGUGGUCUUUACCUAUACGUUGCCUCGGCGGCGCCCUCGCGGGCCCGCCGGGGGUACCAAACUUGAAUUUUUAGUGAAUCUCUGAGUACUAGAUGAAAAUCUAUAACAACUUUCAACAACGGAUCUCUUGGUUCUGGCAUCGAUGAAGAACGCAGCGAAAUGCGAUAAGUAGUGUGAAUUGCAGAAUUCCGUGAAUCAUCGAAUCUUUGAACGCACAUUGCGCCCGCCGGCAUUCCGGCGGGCAUGCCUGUUCGAGCGUCAUUUCGACCCUCAAGCCUCCCGGCUUGGUGUUGGGGCGCCCGCGUUACAGCGGGGCCCUCAAGUGCAUCGGCGGGCUCGCCGGACACUGAGCGCAGUAAUUUUUUCUUCGUUCGGCCUGUCCCGGUGGGUUCUUGCCGCUAAACACCCCAAUUUUUAAGGUUGACCUCGGAUCAGGUAGGAAUACCCGCUGAACUUAAGCAUAUCAAUAAGCGGAGGAAAAGAAACCAACAGGGAUUGCCCUAGUAACGGCGAGUGAAGCGGCAACAGCUCAAAUUUGAAAUCUGGCCCUCGGGUCCGAGUUGUAAUUUGCAGAGGAUGCUUCCGG
RNAcentral lists this ribosomal RNA (614 nucleotides) under fungal endophyte. RNAcentral's name for it is "eukaryotic LSU rRNA". The stretch from base 136 to 289 matches the Rfam family "5.8S ribosomal RNA". Lineage: Eukaryota; Fungi. The record is from RNAcentral.